Ananas comosus (pineapple) is the source of this 1563-nucleotide long non-coding RNA. RefSeq lists it as uncharacterized. The record is from RefSeq and is a predicted model, not a curated record. NCBI's taxonomy places the organism in Eukaryota, Viridiplantae, Streptophyta, Magnoliopsida, Poales, Bromeliaceae. The transcript has 6 exons.
AAGACGCACUCUCUCGAGCUUCUUCUAUUUAAACCCCGGUUCCUGGUCGCGACCCCUCCUCACGAAUUCUAGGGUUUCCUCCUCCACUCCCAUCGUUCCCGCUCCCUCUCCAGCAAUGUAAGGAUUCGAAGCCCUAGCGCUCAAUAUCUUCGACGGGUGUCUCGAGGCGAUCGUCCGCGGCCGCCGCGCCGGUCUCCUCUCCGCUGCCGACUCCAACAACCUGUGCCAGUGCGAAACCCUAGACGACAUUAAAGACGCGCGUCUCCGCCACCGAGUUACGGGCCCUACCUCCGAAAUGGUACAGUUUCAUGAUUGACGAUGUUGUCUUUGUUGUCACUGGGACAUUGCAUGAGAGAGAUGUUCAUGAACCAUUGGAGAAAUGCCAUCCUUUGGUGUAUGUUUGACAGGCAUCCCUAUCACCUAUGGGCAUGAGGAACUUACUGUCUGCGAGGACAUUGACCAGAUGCAUGCUGUGGUGGAAAACUAUCCACCAUAUCAGCCUAUUUUCACUAAGAUGUCCUAUGGAGAAACCCAAAUGCUCGACAAAGGCCUUUUUAUGAAGAAGAGGUGAAAAGGCUUUGCCUGGCUUUUGAAACAGCAGUUUCAGUACGCCGUCUUCUUUGGUUACAUUAGAUUGAGGGAGCAGGAGAUGAGGAACCUGAUGUGGAUCUCGGAAUGUGUUGCACAGAACCAAAAUGUCGAGGGUUCAUGACAGUGUGGUCUUCAUCUUUCGAGUCCUUUUAUUUUAGAUCAACUCUGUAAAUUGUCCUUCGCAGAUCACAAGAGACAAUGCAGCCAUUUUUCAUAUCGGAUGCAUUUUGUCUCCUUUUAUUUAUUCUCCCCCUUCUUCAGUUUUACGAAAAAUCAUGUGUGGAUCAUGUGCCAUUCUUUAUUGCUUUACCCAAAGAACGUACAACUGCUAAUCCAUGUGGGGAGACUCUGUUUGUACUUAAAAUAAGCUCUGUACCGGAUUAACUAAUUUUCCCUUGAAUUGUUGUGCGGCUUUGUUCGCUCACGUGACAGCUGCUGAGUCAUCUCUCUCAACAUCCCUUGGACGGCCUGGUUUUGUUCAACUUGGCUGCAUCCGAGUUCUGCGAGGUCUUGUAAAGACCUGGAAAAGGCUUUCAUGUAGGGUCCGUUGAUCGGUCCUCAUUCCAUGAAUAGCCUGGGCCAUCGUCGCUGGCCCAGAUCCCACCGACUCUGAAAGUGGCGGUAGAUCGGGAAUCUUAUAAACAUUGCCGCUUCUAAGAUUCAUCCUUUAGCUUCCCAGUGUCCCACCGUACAAAAAAGGAUGUUGGCUAUAAAAUGCGCGGGCGACAAUUAUACUGCUAGGAAGUGAACAAGAUGUAGCAGGUGAUCACAUGCGUCGUAGUUUGUCUCCUAUCCUGCAGCAGUAUCUUUUGCACUUCACGAAAAGAAAUUAUGGAUCGCCUAACCCUGAAUCUGUGAAUCCAACGUAAUUCAAGAGCAAUGUGGUAUUUGAGUUUUUGUGAAGUGUGGUUAUUUUUUUGUUAUUUGUUUUGACGUAACUCGUCCAGCCUGAAAGCUAAAUUCAAUUACUUU